ACGCCCUUAGAGUUUGAUCCUGGCUCAGGAUGAACGCUAGCUACAGGCUUAACACAUGCAAGUCGAGGGGAAACGAUAUUGGAAGCUUGCUUCCGAUAGGCGUCGACCGGCGCACGGGUGAGUAACGCGUAUCCAACCUGCCCACCACUUGGGGAUAACCUUGCGAAAGUAAGACUAAUACCCAAUGAUAUCUCUAGAAGACAUCUGAAAGGGAUUAAAGAUUCAUCGGUGAUGGAUGGGGAUGCGUCUGAUUAGCUUGUUGGCGGGGUAACGGCCCACCAAGGCUACGAUCAGUAGGGGUUCUGAGAGGAAGGUCCCCCACAUUGGAACUGAGACACGGUCCAAACUCCUACGGGAGGCAGCAGUGAGGAAUAUUGGUCAAUGGGCGAGAGCCUGAACCAGCCAAGUAGCGUGCAGGAUGACGGCCCUAUGGGUUGUAAACUGCUUUUAUAAGGGAAUAAAGUGGGAGUCGUGACUCUUUUUGCAUGUACCUUAUGAAUAAGGACCGGCUAAUUCCGUGCCAGCAGCCGCGGUAAUACGGAAGGUCCGGGCGUUAUCCGGAUUUAUUGGGUUUAAAGGGAGCGUAGGCCGGAGAUUAAGCGUGUUGUGAAAUGUAGAUGCUCAACAUCUGCACUGCAGCGCGAACUGGUUUCCUUGAGUACGCACAAAGUGGGCGGAAUUCGUGGUGUAGCGGUGAAAUGCUUAGAUAUCACGAAGAACUCCGAUUGCGAAGGCAGCUCACUGGAGCGCAACUGACGCUGAAGCUCGAAAGUGCGGGUAUCGAACAGGAUUAGAUACCCUGGUAGUCCGCACGGUAAACGAUGGAUGCCCGCUGUUGGUCUGAAUAGGUCAGCGGCCAAGCGAAAGCAUUAAGCAUCCCACCUGGGGAGUACGCCGGCAACGGUGAAACUCAAAGGAAUUGACGG
This 926-nucleotide ribosomal RNA is filed under the name uncultured bacterium. Its description in RNAcentral is "bacterial SSU rRNA". It matches the Rfam family "Bacterial small subunit ribosomal RNA", at positions 1 to 916 of the family's 1533-position model. The record is from RNAcentral.